UACGUAGGGUGCGAGCGUUGUCCGGAAUUAUUGGGCGUAAAGAGCUCGUAGGCGGUCUGUCGCGUCGAUCGGGAAAACUUGGGGCUUAACCCUGAGCUUGCGGUCGAUACGGGCAUGACUGGAGUUCGGCAGGGGAGACUGGAAUUCCUGGUGUAGCGGUGAAAUGCGCAGAUAUCAGGAGGAACACCGGUGGCGAAGGCGGGUCUCUGGGCCGAUACUGACGCUGAGGAGCGAAAGCGUGGGGAGCAAACAGG
This 254-nucleotide ribosomal RNA is filed under the name uncultured bacterium. Its description in RNAcentral is "partial 16S ribosomal RNA". It matches the Rfam family "Bacterial small subunit ribosomal RNA", at positions 524 to 776 of the family's 1533-position model. The record is from RNAcentral.